This 64-nucleotide transfer RNA is filed under the name Muraenolepis orangiensis (Patagonian moray cod). RNAcentral describes it as "tRNA-Cys". Lineage: Eukaryota; Metazoa; Chordata; Actinopteri; Gadiformes; Muraenolepididae. The record is from RNAcentral.
AGCCUUGGGGUGUUACAUAACAGAUUGCAAAUCUGAAGAAGCGAACGAGAGUUUGCCGGGGCUU